GGGACUGGCGCUGGAGCCCAGCGUGGGAUGACCGUGCCCCGAAAACAUGCCAGUGAAUGGAAAGAAGCCAAGGUCCCCUCCCUCCCUGCUUAUACCCUCAACUUUGCCAAUGAGGACCCUAAAUACCAGCUGCACUACAGGGGAUGUAACUACAUACACCGUCACCAAAGUUGCAGCCUGGCCAAGAAAUGCCAGGGGACGUCGCGGCGAUUGCAGACUCCGCGGUGACUGUGUAGAUACGUCCAGAAUUCGCCCUUGUAGCGCGGGGAGAGGCGAGAGUGAAGGCCUAGAAAAGCUGGAGUGCAAUGGCGCCAUCUCAGCUCACUGCAACCUCUGCCUCCCGGGUUCAAGCGAUUCUCCUGCCUCAGCCUCCGGAGUAGCUGGGAUUACAGGUAUGUAUCACCACGCCAGGCUAAUUUUGCAUUUUUAGUAGAGAUGGGGUUUCUCCAUGUUGGUCAGGCUGGUCUCGAACUCCCGACCUCAGGUGAUCUGCCCGCCUUGGCCUCCCAAAGUGCUGGGAUUACAGGUGUGAGCCAUCGUGCCUGGUUGGUUAGGUUUUGUUCUAAGUAAGAAGCAAACCUAAUGGGUCUCCAAUAACAGGUUAGAAAUAUCAGAAUAGACUGGGUUUGGUGGCUCAUGUCUGUAAUCCCAGCAUUUGGGAGGCACAGGCAGGAGGAUCAAGCCCGGCAGUUCAAGACCAGCCUGGGCUACACAGUGAGAUCCCAUCUCUACCAAAAAAAUUAAUUUGCUGGGCGUGGUAGUGCGCGUCUGUAGUCCCAGCUACUCAGGAGGCUGAGACGAGAGGAUCACCUGAGCCCAGGAGAUUGAGGCUGAAAUGAGUCAUGAUUGUGCCACUGCACUCCAGCCUGGCUGCAGAGCAAGACCCUGUCUCAAAAACAAAAACAAAAACAGAAUAGUCUUAUUUUACUCUUUAGGGCUCUAUCAUUAUAAGUAUAACUGGGCAUCAUUUUUAUAUCUAAGCCUCUUUCAUUUUAUUCAUAAUUCACUUGUUUAUUCAGUGAUCUAACAAACAUUUAUGGAGCGCCUGCUUGUGCUGCAUGUUGGGAUACAAUGGUAAAUAAGGUACCGCCCUCAAUCUUGGGGAACUUACACUCUAGUGGGGCAACCAGGUUAGUAAGCGGGCAGUUACGAAGCAGCUGGUUAGCACAAGGAAUAAGCCAAGAGAGCAGCAUUGCAUAUUCCGCUCUGAGCCUCCUUUUCCUGUCUUGGAAGCCAGAAGGGAGGUGUGGAUUCAGUGAUUAAUGAGCAUUUGAGUAGCAUCUACAGAGAACUGUGCUUCGUUCUAGACUCUGAGGUUCCAAGGAUUAAUAAUUCACAGCCCUGUACUAAUGAAAUCCAUACAGGUAAUUAUAGUGCUGUAUAGUAAGUGUGGUUUUGGGAUAGGUGCAGGGUCUUCAGGGCGCAUCCAGGAGGGAUGGGGGGAAAGGGAACCUUCCUGCAUGAGGUGAAGUUCCUGUAGGCUGCAAGUGACCUUAGGGAGGGACCUCGCUGUCCUGUGCUGCUGUCCCCCAGUUCCCACGACACUGCCUUGCACACAUAUGUACUCAAUCAGCAUUCAAACUUGAGUGAAUGAACUGCAGGAUGAUUAGGAGUUAAUCAGGGGUUGAGAGGCUCUACUCUGGGCCAGGCCUUAUACUAUUAUACGUGCUGGGAAUACCAAAAUGAGUAAGACAUGGCCUUUGCCCUGAAAAGGGGAUUAUAGGAGAUUAUAAUAAAGCCUCAUUUUUGGCUAAAUCCAGAUAGUGUAUAAUGUUAUCAGGCAAUGUAUAUUAAUGCACUCACAAACCUGGGCACACUUCUUCAAUAAGUGGUGCUCCACCCUGGGCCAUUUACUGCCUAUGUCAAACAUUUGUUAAACCUACUCUCCUGAGUUUAUACUAUGGAAUUUGGAGGUUAAAGAAGUAGACAACUGAGCAUCCCAAGUUCCAGCCCUGGUAUAAAAGGCAUCAUUCAAAUGGUCUUGUUUUUUUCUUGAAACAGGGUCUUGCUCUGUUGCCUAGGCUGGAGUGCUGUGGUGCGAUGACAGGUACAGCCUAUGAUCCCAUCUUGAUCUCACUCUGUUGCUCAGGCUGGUCUUCAAACUCAUCUCGACCUCUCGAGUAGCUGGGACUACAGGCAUAAGCCACUAUGCCCAGCUAAUUUGUUUUUAUUUUUUUAUAGAGCUGGAAUCUCCCUACAUUGCCCAGGCUGGUCUCCAGCUCCUAGACUCAAGUGAUCCUUCUGCCUUGGCCUCCCAAAGUGCUGGGAGAACAGGCGUGAGGCACUGUGCCCAGCCCAGAUGGUCUUAAACUAUGGUGUGUCAUGAUACUCAACCCUAGAAUGUGGAUAACACAGCUGGUUGCCAGCCGUUAGGUGUAAUUAGUAGCUUUUUCUGAGGAUCCCCCAAAUGCAUUUUCUUUCUCUUUUUCUUUUUUUUUUUUUUUUGAGACACAGUCUCGCCCCAUCGCUAGGCUGGAGUGCAAUGGCGCAAUCUCGGCUCACUGCAACCUCCGCCUCCUGGGUUCAAGCGAUUCUCCUGCCUCAGCCUCCCGAGUAUCUGGGAUUACAGGCGCGCGCCUCUACGCCCAGCUAAUUUUUGUAUUUUUAGUAGAGACGGGGUUUCACCAUGUUGGCCAGGCUGGUCUCGAACUCCUGACCUCGUGAUCCACCCACCUCGGCCUCCCAAAGUGCUGGGAUUACAGGCGUGAGCUACCGCGCCCGGCCCAGAUCCCCCAAAUGCAGUUUCAAAUAUCAACUACCCCUUUAGACAUUCCCCUGCACAUUCCUAGCCUCCAGCCAUGAUGGAAGUGGGGAGUGGCACUUCUCACAGCGACAUCAAAUAUGAUCAGAUCUGGGAGUUGCUGGCUGAUGGUUUGCUCCAGGUGACCAGAAAUUUUAAGAUGGUCUUUAGCAACAAAUGAGUUUGAAUGAGGUCCCUCAGUUUAUUACAGUUGCUCUUAUGUCUCCUCAAACUCUCAAUUCUUGAACUACCAAAGGCAGCUGAAGUUGGUCAAGGGGCCAGUUGAGCAGAAGACACCAGUCAAGGCAGGUGGCACGGAUAUGCGACUUAUGUCUAUUUAGUGUAAUUAAGUGCCACAGUCAGCAAGGCAGGAAACCCUGCAUUUAUGUAACUUUUCCUCAAUAUUAUGAAGAGAGAAAUUGAGGUAGAAGGAAGUACAGGAUCUCACUUUAGGAUGCACAGCAAGUUGGAGGCAGAAAUACUCCAUUCCUUAGUAAUCCACAAGUCAGGGGUGAGUCUUUCCCAGAAAGAGGAAGCCCAUCCCCUUUUCUAAAUUGGACACCUUCACAUGUUCACUAUUCCUUCUCAAGAAAGUUGCUCAGUUUUCCUCCCUAGAGAGCUAUACCCUAAAUAACAAUCAUUCCAGUUUCUCAUUGCCUCAUGUACUCUUGAGAAGCCACAUACCAGACCCAAGCAGAAAUACGGCUUUAAUAUCUCACUCAUGUCCCCCCCGCCCCAUGCCCCCAGCCCUGCCUAGCUGGAGGGUCACAUUCCAUUUUAUAAAUAGCAUCAAAGAGAAGUCACUUUGGGGGUAGAGAGCAGUAGUGGAAGCAGAAGUCGGGGACCUCCAAGCAAUGACUAACGCAGCAGACAGGCUUCUCUUUGUCCAUUGUUAAAAGAUAAUGAAUAGAUCUCCAGCCCCCUCUUACUACCUCUAGAGAAAGAAGAUUGAAGCAGCUGCCAGAGAGAGUUCCUUUCAAAAAGUUCCUGACUCUGUCUUGUGCUGCUGCCUUUUGCACUUUCUUUCCUUCUUUCUUUCUUUCUUUUUUUUUUUUUCUUUAGACAGGGUCUCUCUCUGUCUCCCAGGCUGGAGGGCAGUGGCGCCAGCUUGGCUCACUGAAGCCUCGACCUCCUGAGCUCAAGUGAUCCUCUUGCCUCAGUAUCCUGAGUAGCUGUGAUUAUGGGCAUGUGCCAUCAUGUCCAGCUAAUUUUUUGUAUUUUUGGUAGAGAUGGGGUUUCAUCAUGUUGCCUAGGCUGGUCUCAAACUCCUGAGCUCAAGUGAUCCACCCACUCAACUUCCCAAAGUGCUGGGACUACAGGCACGAGCCACUGCGCCUUGCCUGACUUUUGCACUUUCACCCACAAGUCAUUAAGCCCAGUUACGAAUUUUUAGCAAAUUGCAACUCCUUACAAAUCAGACGCGUUGGCUCUGGUGAGUGUUCUAAGAAAUGUGUCAAUGCCUUGUGCACUAGAGGACCUCAGAUCUAAUGCUGGCUCAGAUAUCAGAUAGCCAUGUGCAACUGUUGGCUUUAUGAUCUAGGCUUUGGUUUCCCUGUUUGGAAGAUGAGUUUGUUGGGCCUAGAUGAGGUCACCAAAUGGAGGUCUCCGGCCGUAUACUGCCUGAAAUCAUGUAUUUUAUCCAUAUGGUGUUACGGCGGUUUUUUUGUUAGUUUGUUUUUUGUUGUUGUUUGAGACAGGGUCUUGCUCUGUAACCCAGGCUGGAGUGCAGUAGCACGAUCUCUGCUCACUGCAACCUCUGCCUCCUGGGCUCAAGUGAUCCUCCCACCUCAGCCUCCUGAGUAGCUGGGACUACAGGCGCAUGCCACUAAAUUGGCUAAUUUUUGUAUUUUUUUGUAGAGAUGAGGUUUUCCCAUGUCACUCAGGCUGGUCUCAAACUCCUGAACUCAAACAAUCUGCCCACUUCAGCCUCCCGAAGUGCUAGGAUUACAGGUGUGAGCCACUGCACCUGGCCAUUUUUUGUUUGUUUUUGUUUUUAUAAAAUUUAAACUAGUGUUCGUCAUUUAAAAAAGGACUCAACAAUAGUAAAACAAUCUAAUUUAAAAAAUGGCCAACAAGCACAUCAAAAUAUGCUUGACAUCACUAAUCAUUAGAGAAAUACAAAUCAAAACCACAGUGAGAUACUACUGCCUCAUACCCACUAGGAUGGGUAUUAUCAAAAGAACAAAAAACAACAAAUGCUGGUGAGGAUGUGGAAAAAUUGGAAUGCUGUGUACUGUUAGUAUUAAUGUGAAAUGGUGCAGCUGCUAUGGAAAACAGUAUGGUGGUUCCUAAAAAAAAGUAAAAAUAGAAUCACCACAUGAUCCAACAAUUCCACUUCUGGAUAUACGCCCAAAAGAAUUGAAAGCAGGAACUCAAAAGAUAUAUUAUUUGUAUACUUCGCCAGGCAUGGUGGCUCACUUCUGCAAUCCUAGCACUUUGGGAGGCUGAGGUGAGUGGAUCACCUGAGGUUGGGAGUUUGAGACCAGCCUGACCAACAUGGAGAAACCCCGUCUCUACUAAAAAUACAAAAUUAGCUAGGUGUGGUGGCGCAUGCCUAUAAUCCCAGCUACUUGGGAGACUGAGGCAGGAGAAUCGCUUGAACCUGGGAGGCGGAGGUUGCUGUGAGCCAAGAUCGUGCCAUUGCACUCCAUCUUGGGCAAUAAGAGUGAAACUCUGUCUCAAAAUAAAAAAAAAAGAUACAUUAUUUGUAUACUCAUGCUGGUAGCAGCAUCAUUCACAUAGCCAAAGGUAGAAGCAACCAAGAGUCUAUUGAUGGAUGAAUGGAAAAAAAUGUGGACUAUAUAUACAAUAAAAUAUUAUUCAGCCUUAAAAAGAUGGAGGCUGGGCAUGGUGGCUCAUGCCUGUAACUCCAGCACUUUGGGAGGCUGAGGCAGGUGGAUCAAUUGAGGUCAGGAGUUGGAGACCAACCUAGGCAACAUGGCAAAACACCGUCUCUACCAAAAAUAUGAAAAUUAGCCAGGAGUGAUGGAGCAUACCUAUGGUCCCAGCUACUUGGGAGGCUGAGGUGGGAGGAUUGUCAAAACCCCAGAAGUCGAGGCUGCAGUGAGUUGAGAUUGUGCCAGCGCACUCCAGCCUGGGUGACAGAGUGAGACCCUGUCUCAAAAAAAAAAAAAAAAAAGGAAAUUCAGACACAUGCUACAACAUGAAUGAGUCUUGAGGACAUUACAUAGAGUGAAAUAAGCCAGUCAUAAAAAGACAAAUUCUGUAUGAUUCCACUUCCUUUCUUCUGGAGUGCUGUGAUAAGAUUAUGGCUCACUGCAGCAGCUUUGAUGUCCUUUGAUAUCCUGGCCUCAAGUCAUCCUCCUGCCUUAGCCUCCAAAGCAGUUAGGACUAUAGGCACAUGACACCACACCCAAUUUUAAUUUAUUAUUAAUAUAUUUUUUUGUAGAGAUGCGGUCUGCUGUGUUGCCCAAGCUGGUCUCAAACCCCUCGGCUCAAGUGGUCCUCCCACCCCGGCCUCUCAAACUGCUAGGAUUACAGGCAUGAGCCAUUGUGCCUGACCUGAUUUAUUUUUUAUGAGGUACCUAGAAUAGUUAAAAUCAGAAACAGAAAAUGGAAUGGUGGAUGCCAGGGAUGGCGGGGAAGAGGGGGAAUUAUUGUUGCACAGCAAUGUGAGUGUAUUUAACACUUCUCAGCUGGACACAUAAAAAUCCUUAGAUGGUAAGUUUUUAUGUUAUGUAUAUUUUACCACAAUUAAAAUAAAGAGUGGUAACUCAUGAAAACCUGAAUAGUCGACUUAAAAAAUAUAUUAAAACAAAUCUGGCAUAUUGGGCCACAUGUACCAGUUGGCAACAGCCCACUUGAGCUGAGUAUCUGCCCUCUCUAAAUGGCUCUAUUCUUUGCUCUUCUCCCCAGCCCCCACCUGCCAGUCUUCUUUCUAUCAAAUAACCUGUGCAGCUACUAUAGGCCUUUGAGUUUGCAGUCCCUGGAUUCGACUCUCUAUGGUUCCUUCUAGCAUUCAUAGCUAUGAUUCUGUGACUUCCUGGAACUUUAGUGACUGUGACACUAUAAAUAAAUAAGUGAGGUGAAGACAUAGAUGUUCUUGAAGGAUGUCUAGUUCUCAGUAGGCAGAGACUGGGGGAAGGUUUAUUCCAGGCUUGCAGUGGCUCAAGCCUGUAAUCCCAGCACUUUGGGAGGCUGAGGUGGGCGGAUCCCUUGAGGCCAGGAGUUGGAGACUAGCCUGGCCAACAUGGCGAAACCCCAUCUCUACUAAAAACACAAAAAUUAGCCAGACAUGGUGGUGUGCACCUGUGGUCCCAGCUAUUUGGGAGGCUGAGGCAGGAGAAUCGCUUGAACCUGGGAGGCGGAGGUUGCAGUGAGCCGAAAUAGUGCCAUUGCACUCCAGCCUGGGAGACAGAGCGAGACUCCCAUCUCAAAAAAAAAAAAAAAAAAGAUUUAUUCCAGGCUCAAGGAAGAACACAGCCAGGCAACAAGGCAGCAAGAUUCAUGGAGACACAGACAUUUUCUGGUUCUGCUAUGUCUUGCAGUAACCCUGAAUAUUGUGCUAGUAUGUAAGAAUAAAGAGGGUCAUUCCUCGGACAGCCACUCAGUAUUUCUGCCACCCUCACAAUGCCUGGGGACCUUCCUAAGAAAGGGCUACCACAGACUUAGGGAGAUUCACUCUGAAAAAAUUUUGUAUUUUGUAAAGGUUGUUUGGGAUUGGGGUGGAACUGUGUGCAGGAUGUCAGAAUGGAAACUUCUGCACAUUACUUGCAUCAACUCAUGAGCUGUACUUUAUAUACCUGAAGUUAGGUCUUUGGACUGUAUUGAUCAAAUUUAUGGGCUGAGUAUGGUGGCUCAUGCCUGUAAUCCCAGCAAUUUGGGAGGCCAAGGCAGGUGGAUCACUUGAGCCCAGGAGUUGAAAACCAGUCUGGGCAACAAGGUGAAACCCUAUCUCUCCAAAAAAUACAAAAAUUAGUCAGGUGUGGUGGCUCACACUGUAGUCCCAGCUACUCGGGAGGCUGAGAUGGUAGAAUCGCUUGAGCAGAGGAGGUCGAGGUUGCAAUGAGCUGUGAUGGCACCACUGUACUCCAGCCUGGGCGUGCUAGGCUCCGUUUAAAAAAAAAAAUUACAAGAACUACUUUAUGAAUUCAUGAAAAAUCAUAUGCAAAUAGAUAUCUUACAAUUUGCUAAAAUAUCUGGUGAUCUUAACCUGGAGGGACUGUUUUAAAAGGCUAGGACUCAGGCCGGGCACGGUGGUUCAUGCCUGUAAUCCCAGCACUUUGGGAGGCCCAGGCAGGCGGCUCACCUGAGGUCAGGAGUUCGAGAUGAGCUUGGCCAACAUGGUAAAACCCUGUCUCUACUAAAAAUACAAAAAUUAGCCAGGUGUGGUGGCAGGCGCCUGUAAUCCCAGCUACUUGGGAAGUUGAGGAGGAGAAUUGCUUGAACCUGGGAGGCAGAGGUUGCAGUGAGCCGAGAUUGUGCCCUUGCACUCCAGCCUGGGCAGGAAGAGCGAAACUCCAUCUUGAAAAUAAAUGAAUUAAUUAAUUAAAUAAGCUGGGAUAUGAACACAGGCUUGCUGCUAGCUUCUAUGCUAUCUAUUGCGUCUGAAAAUAAAUUAGAAACAAAAACAAACCUAGAAAAUGAUAAUCCUUGACAAUGAUACUAGAGUUAAGAAGUGAGUUGUUUUGGAUCUGUACAUUCUUCCAGUGUUUAUUGAGCACCUAUUAUAGUGUACCAGGUGCUGGGGAAACAGGUGCACAAGGCAGAUGAAGCACCUGCCCUCAGCAUGCUCAUGUCCUAGUAGAUCCACUUCUUUGAUUCUAAAGAUACUGAUCUUCUAUUUCAGUGUGUCUCAAACUGUAUUAAAGGGUCAGUCUUAAAAAUUCAAUUAGUCUAAAAAUCAAUGGCUAGAAAGAUGAAAUUUAAAAACUCCCAAAGACAUACAAAAUAGAAACUUCACUUUUCCCUUUCUUUUUCUUUCUUUUUCUUUCUUUCUUUCUUUUUCUUUUUCUUUCUCUCUCCCUUCCUUCCUUUCUUUCUUUCUUUCUCUCUCUCUCUCUCUCUCUCUCUCUCUCUCUCUCUCUCUUUCUUUCUUUCUUUCUUUCUUUCUUUCUUUCUUUCUUUCUUUCUUUCUUUCUUUCUGUCUUUCUUUUUCUACAGGAUAUUGCUCUGUCACCCAGGCUGGAGUGCAAUGGCGUGAUCUCAGCUCAUUGCAACCUCUGCCUCCCAGGCUCAAGCCAUUCUCUCACUUCAGCCUCCUGAGUAGCUGGGACUACAGGUACAUGCCAUCAUACCUGGUUCAUUUUUUGUAUUUUUGGUAGAGACUAUGUUAUCCAGGCUGGUCUCGAAAUCCUGAGCUCAAGAGAUCCUCCCGUCUCAGCCUCCCAAAGUGCUGGAAUUAUAAGCGUGAGCCACCAUGCCUGGCCUAAACCUCAUUUUUCAAGUAUUAUAUUCAAAUAGACAUAAAAUUACUUUGUCAAUUUUCUAUAACUUUCUAAGGCUUACUCUCAAUUUUUGUAUUUAUCUCAUUAUGAUCCUAACAGUUCAACUGGCAACAGCCUGAGACCCAUACUUUGGGUAGCUUCCAUUUGCUCUUUCUGCCAACUAUUUGGACAGUUAGUGCCCAUCAUACCAUAUGAUCUGAAAGAUAAAGAUGAAUUGGUUCAGCCGUAUGAUAGACCUUUUUCUGUAAAGAACCAGCUAGUAAAUAUUUUAGGCUCUGUGGCUCAAAUGAUUUCUGUCACAACUACUUAACUCUGUCACUGCAGUGAGAAAGCAGUAAUAGAUGGUACCUAGAUGAGUAGGUGUGGCUGAGUGUGGUGAUGUUCCAAUAUAACCUUAUUUAUAGUUAGUGAAUUUGAAUUUUACAUAAUUUUCAUGAAUUACAAAAAUAUUAUGCCUCUUUUGAGUUUUUCAACCAUCUAUCAAUAUUUUAAAAAUUCUUUUUUUUUUUUUUUGUGACGGUCUUGCUCUGUCACCCAGGCUGGAGUGCAGUGACGCAAUCUUGGCUCACUGCAACCUCCGACCCCCAGGUUCAAGCAAUUUUCCUGCCUCAGCCCCCUGAGUAGCUGGGAUUACAGGUGUGUGCCACCAUGCCCAGCUAAUUUUUGUAUUUUUAGUAGAGACGGGGUUUUGCCAUGUUGGCCAGGCUGGUCUUGAACUCCUGGCCUCAAGCGAUCCACCUGCCUUGGCCUCCCAAGCUGCUGGGAUUACAGGCGUAAGCCACCAUGUCCGGCCAUUUUCACUAUAUCUUUUCUAUGUUUAGAUAUGUUUAGAUACACAAAUACUUACCAUUGUGUUACAAUAGCCUAGGUAUGCAGUAGACUAUUCCUUCUAGGUUUGUAUAAAUGCACCUAUGAGGUUCACACAACAACAAAAACCACCCGGCGACACAUUUCUCUGAAGGUAUCCCUGUUGUUAAGUAACACAUGACUGAAUGUGCAAUGCCCAGAAUAGGUGAGUCCAUAGAGAGUAGAUUGGUAGUUGCCAGAGGCCAGGAGACAUGGAAGGAGAAAUGGGAAGUAUGUUUUAAGAAUGAUGAAAAUGUUCUGGAAUUUGGCCAGGUGCAGUGGCUCACGCCUGUAAUCCCAGCACUUUGGGAGUCCAAGGAGGGUGGAUCACUUGAGGUCAGGAGUUCAAGACCAGCCUGGCCAAUAUGGUGAAACCCCAUCUCUACUAAAAAUACAAAAAUUAGCCAGGAGUGCUGGUGCGUGCCUGUAAUCCCAGCUACUCCGGAGGCUGAGGCAGGAGAAUCGCUUGAACCCAGCGGGUGAAGGUUGCAGUGAGCCGAGAUCACGCCAUUGCAUUCCAACCUGGGCAACAGAGCAAGACUCUGUCUCAAAAAAAAAUAAAAAAAGAAAAAAGAAAAUAUCCUGGAAAUUGAUAGUGGUGAUGGGUGCAUAAACCUUUGUAUAUACUUAAAACCAGUUAGCUGUACACUUUAAAAGGAUAAACUUUAUGGU
Molecule: long non-coding RNA, 10665 nt
Filed under: Homo sapiens (human)
Lineage: Eukaryota; Metazoa; Chordata; Mammalia; Primates; Hominidae
Description: HSALNT0369833
Source: RNAcentral